Molecule: unclassified non-coding RNA, 348 nt
Filed under: soil metagenome
Description: partial contains 5.8S ribosomal RNA, internal transcribed spacer 2, and large subunit ribosomal RNA
Rfam family: 5.8S ribosomal RNA (bases 1-120)
Source: RNAcentral
GAUGAAGAACGCAGCAAAAUGCGAUAAGUAAUGUGAAUUGCAGAAUUCAGUGAAUCAUCGAAUAUUUGAACGCACAUUGCGCCCGCUGGUAUUCCGGCGGGCAUGCCUGUUCGAGCGUCAUUUCAACCCUCAAGCACCCGGGUUUGGUGUUGGGGAUCGGCUCUGCCCUUCUGGGCGGUGCCGCCCCCGAAAUACAUUGGCGGUCUCGCUGCAGCCUCCAUUGCGUAGUAGCUAACACCUCGCAACUGGAACGCGGCGCGGCCAUGCCGUAAAACCCCAACUUCUGAAUGUUGACCUCGGAUCAGGUAGGAAUACCCGCUGAACUUAAGCAUAUCAAUAAGCGGAGGA